UAUUAUUUUAAACUGAGUUAAAUUAUGGGUCUUUCAGGGAUCGUGUAGGACAACCAUAACGGAAGAACUGUAAAUUAUUUUCUGACACCAGAUGGCGCUAUGCACCAUGGAAACCAGAGUGAAGCCUGAGCGAUACAACAACAGUCCAACACACUCUGCAUGAACUGUUCAGUGUCCUCAUUUCCUUCCAGUGCUCCUGGGAAUGUCCUGAAUCAGUCUGGCCCCUGCUCCCGACCCCGAGCCACAGAGAAACACUUUCUCUGUGAAACCACACAAAAGAUGCAGUCAGUGUGUGUGUCGGGAGGAUGCUGUCAUUUUCUCACCACAUGGUCACACUGAAGUGCUUCAACGACAAGGUCAGCACUGCAGAAUGCCAAAGAUACACUGUAAGGGGGGGCGCUCUCGGGCCAGAGUUCCCCACACAGACACCACUAUUACCGCACAAUGGUGGUCUGUCUGACUAAACCCUCGGAGCAGCUCGUCUGGGUACAUUCAACCCUUAAAACACCACCGGCUGUAAUCCCCUUGUUAAUGAGCAGAAGCCUGGAAAACAACAAGAUCCCAUCCGAUGGAUAAAUGUGAGAAUAAGUGCAGGGGUCCAUGAUAUCACAGCCCAUUCUGAGCCUCAUGGAGCUUUAAGAGUAGCUAAAGUCCACCUUCUUAUAUUAGUCUUACUCAUAUGUGCAGUCACGCUGUCUACAACCCAACCUUAUUCAAUGUAUAAUCACAUUUACCUUCUUUAUCUCCUAUUCAUACCCCAAGAGGAGGCUUAACUGAAAGAGUAUAAUCCUAAAAAUCUUUGAUAGACUUCCCGUUAGUCUGCAUAUUGAGCACUUAGUGAAAAAGCUGAAGGUUAGACUGAGUUUAUUAUGGAAAUAGGGUCUUCUUUUAAUGUAGCACCUAGGAAUACACUUGUACAGGCUUUAAUCCUAAAUAUUCUUGAUUAUAGUGAAAUCAUUUACAAGCAUUGUCUAACUGUGCAUCACACUUCUUUAUUUUUCAUGUCAAAUUAGUUGUCCAGUCAUCACUGUGUACUUUGGCUGGUUUCUUGGCUGUCAGUAAGCAUAAAGAGACGCCCUUCUUAGCUCUGCAAACGCUGACAAACCGCUGCUGUGAUUUGCCUCACAUUAGAUGGCUCCUCUUUGACUGACUGAUCGAUUGAUCGCUUUAUUUUGAACAUGUAAGUAAAAAUGUAAUAAAAAUAGGCAGAAAAUAUGCAUUGUAAAUAUGUAAACGAAGAAAAAAGUCACAGUUUACAUUGUUGAAAAGGAGCAGCACACGAAUUAUGAACUAAGCAGCUCACGUAUGCACACAUAAGCAUACACAACAUUCAACAUGCAGUUCACAAACUAACCUGACUGGACACAUUUGUGUCCCUUUACCUGGUAACAAUAAUAUCAUUGUAUUUCUUUUCAGCUGUUUUAUGUUUGUUUCCAAGCUUAGUUUUUACUUUAUUUUAUUCUAUUGUUAGUGUUGUUUUGAAUUUUACCAUUUUUGACUGUAAGAACAGAAAAUUAGUGUGUUCAACAAAUCCAACAAUAUCAGCAGUUCACAGCUGUUCUUGUCACUUUUACAACAAUGUCCUCCGACAUUACAAAGAGCAGUCAUAAAGUAGUUAUAAAACCGUAGCACCAGUAAAGAAUGUGAAUGAUUUCUCAUUUAUUACGUGCUUCAGACAGUUUGUCUCGAAUGUGUUUCAUGUGAAAUUAGCAGCAAGUACAGAGUGAAUGGUUUCUAUAUUUCUCAUAUAUUGUUGUACAUUCUCUGAUGGUGUGUUAAUUUUCCUCUGGCAUAUUUACAUUGACAUGUUCGUUAAGAUGUCCCACUUCAGAAUAAAUAAAUUCACAUCCUAC
Molecule: long non-coding RNA, 1853 nt
Organism: Oreochromis aureus
Lineage: Eukaryota; Metazoa; Chordata; Actinopteri; Cichliformes; Cichlidae
Exons: 3
Source: RefSeq, a predicted model, not a curated record